CGAGACCUUCGGGUCUAGCGGCGGACGGGUUAGUAACGCGUGGGAACGUGCCCUUCUCUGCGGAAUAGCCACUGGAAACGGUGAGUAAUACCGCAUACGCCCUUCGGGGGAAAGAUUUAUCGGAGAAGGAUCGGCCCGCGUUAGAUUAGAUAGUUGGUGGGGUAAUGGCCUACCAAGUCUACGAUCUAUAGCUGGUUUUAGAGGAUGAUCAGCAACACUGGGACUGAGACACGGCCCAGACUCCUACGGGAGGCAGCAGUGGGGAAUCUUAGACAAUGGGCGCAAGCCUGAUCUAGCCAUGCCGCGUGUGUGAUGAAGGUCUUAGGAUCGUAAAGCACUUUCGCCAGGGAUGAUAAUGACAGUACCUGGUAAAGAAACCCCGGCUAACUCCGUGCCAGCAGCCGCGGUAAUACGGAGGGGGUUAGCGUUGUUCGGAAUUACUGGGCGUAAAGCGCGCGUAGGCGGAUUGGAAAGUUGGGGGUGAAAUCCCGGGGCUCAACCCCGGAACUGCCUCCAAAACUAUCAGUCUAGAGUUCGAGAGAGGUGAGUGGAAUUCCAAGUGUAGAGGUGAAAUUCGUAGAUAUUUGGAGGAACACCAGUGGCGAAGGCGGCUCACUGGCUCGAUACUGACGCUGAGGUGCGAAAGUGUGGGGAGCAAACAGGAUUAGAUACCCUGGGUAGUCCACACCGUAAACGAUGAAUGCCAGUCGUCGGGGCAGUAUACUGUUCGGUGACACACCUAACGG
This 746-nucleotide ribosomal RNA is filed under the name Sulfitobacter dubius. RNAcentral's name for it is "bacterial SSU rRNA". It matches the Rfam family "Bacterial small subunit ribosomal RNA", at positions 67 to 858 of the family's 1533-position model. Lineage: Bacteria; Pseudomonadati; Pseudomonadota; Alphaproteobacteria; Rhodobacterales; Roseobacteraceae. The record is from RNAcentral.